Molecule: long non-coding RNA, 823 nt
Organism: Salvia splendens (bonfire salvia)
Lineage: Eukaryota; Viridiplantae; Streptophyta; Magnoliopsida; Lamiales; Lamiaceae
Exons: 4
Source: RefSeq, a predicted model, not a curated record
GCCAGCCGUACGAUCCAAAUUUUCAAUGGCUGCAGCAGGGUCCCCUAUUGCACUCCAGUAAUUACCUGUCAGAAGUUGCAACACCAAAUUCCCAAAAGCCCGGAUGUCUGAUGUGAUAUCAGGGACCGCUCGUCUGCUGGAUCAUGCAAUUUAACAGCGACCGCCAAUUGAUUGAUUCGGCCCCUAUACACAUUCUUCCCACGACAAACAGAUUUCACCCUGAAAUGCUCUGAGAAGUCUUCAGUGGCAGCUAUUAUUUCUUCAGGAGAGUACUCUCUGAAACCGAAUCCAGAGCCGUUCAGUCUCGAUACUUUUGCUAUUGCAUCCUUUUCUAUGCAGAACUCAAUCCUGCGCUUUCGCUCUCAAGUUCCAGUAUUUCAUCCCUCGUGCUUUCGAGCGUUUUGUUAAGCUCAACCCUGUUUACGAUUUCUGCUUGGAUGCAGGUCUGAAGCUCCUCAGCCUGUGGAAAACAUAGUUUUGGUCCUGAAUGAUGGAGUGAGAACUACUUUUUUUUUACAAGAUUGUGCCUUGUGCAUCCCGCAUUGUGCGUUUCAGAAGCUCGAUUCUCGCUGCAACAUCCUACAUAAUUUUUAAAUACUAUGAUUUUUAUAAGUAUGAUUAUACGGGACUGUGAUCUCCAAAUCAGUCUUAAACCUUCAACGCUGAACAACAUCAUUAUAAAAUAUAAUAUGGAGUUCAUUAUAAUGAAUUAAUAACAAACUUAUAAUGAACUUUGGAUUUUUAAUGCUUAUAAAUAUCUGAAUUCUUAGUUUGAUAUAUAAUAUAACCCUGAUCAGGCAUACAUCAAAUAAUGAGAAACCAG